UUAGAGGCAAACGGGUGGACCCGCAAUACGUCGACCCGGGGGAUUCAACCAGGCCGUGCGUUCGGGACGCGUGGGGGUUACGCGGAGCUGUAAAGCCCGUGCCUCUGCGCAGGUCUCCGGGCGGACUGGUGCACUUUCCUCGGGUUGAUUGCCACGACCGGCUCUCCGUGCGGCCACAAGCCUUUGCUGGGAAGGUGACCGUCGGCCUCCGCGCCGGCGGUGUUAUAGACCAGCUUGUUCGUUGAGCUCGUCGGAGGGCCGAGGAAGUGUUGCCGUUUCUCGUCCACCCUCCGGCCAUCCUUGCUCGUCACGACUGGGGUGAACUGCUUCGCCAGUGCUCUCCCGACCGCGAGCGUAGGAAGGGCUGGUACGGUGCGAGAAAGCUUCGGGCCAGUGGCGAAUCGGUCGGUCCUCCACCCGACCCGUCUUGAA
This 432-nucleotide ribosomal RNA is filed under the name Glebula rotundata. Its description in RNAcentral is "partial 28S large subunit ribosomal RNA". The record is from RNAcentral. Lineage: Eukaryota; Metazoa; Mollusca; Bivalvia; Unionida; Unionidae.